UUUUAAUAGAGAGUUUGAUCCUGGCUCAGGACGAACGCUGGCGGCGUGCUUAACACAUGCAAGUCGAACGUGAUUUUUAUG
RNAcentral lists this ribosomal RNA (81 nucleotides) under Parvimonas parva. Its description in RNAcentral is "partial 16S ribosomal RNA". It matches the Rfam family "Bacterial small subunit ribosomal RNA", at positions 1 to 79 of the family's 1533-position model. The record is from RNAcentral. Lineage: Bacteria; Bacillati; Bacillota; Tissierellia; Tissierellales; Peptoniphilaceae.